This 762-nucleotide non-coding RNA is filed under the name Alectorobius microlophi. Lineage: Eukaryota; Metazoa; Arthropoda; Arachnida; Ixodida; Argasidae. The record is from RNAcentral.
CGGGAAUAAAAUAUUUAGUAUAUCUCUUUACUUCCAAACUACUGUAAAAAAGUUGGAAGUAAGAGAAUAUUUUCCUAGUAUUUACAAUUUUAAUUAUAAAAUCUCUUUAUGUGAAAUAGUUAAUAUAAAUUUAUAGAAGAUAAAUUUGUUUUUUUUAUUGUAUAAAAAUAGGUUUUUAAAAAGUUCUGGCGAAGCCUGUGCCAGCCGCCGCGGUUAUACAAGCAGAACAUAAUAUUUGUGUAAGAUUUAAUGUUAUAUUUUUUGUUUAACUUUAAUUAAUUAGGUAAAAUUAUUAAUUUUUAAAAAUUGUUAUUAUUGUUAAAAUUUGUAAAAAAAAAUAGGAUUAGAUACCCUAAUAUUGCAAAAUGUUAUUUUGGGAGUGUCUUGUAUGUUGAAAAAACUAAAUGAGAUGGCGGUAUUUUAAGCUUUUUAGAGGAAUUUAUUCUUUAAUUGAUAAAACUCAAGCAUCUUACUUGAUUUGGUUAAGGCAGCUUGUAUAUCGCUAUCAUUUUAUGAUGUUGUCCGAUUAUCACAAAAAUAGGAAUUUACUUAGAAUGUUAGGUCAAAAUGCAGCAUAAAAUUAAGUUUGAAAUAGAUUACAGUGAUUUUUAUUAUUUUUAUUUGAAAAAAUUAUAUAGGAUUUAAUAGUAAGUUUUAAUUAUAAUGUUAAAUUGAAUUGAGCUCUAAAAUAUGCACAUAUCGCCCGUCGCUCUCAUUUGUGAGAUAAGUCGUAACAAAGUAAAAGUACCGGAAGGUGUUUUU